AGCAGUCGCCGCGGGAAUACGAAGGGUGCAAGCGUCAAUCGGAAUUACUGGGCGUAAAGCGUGCGUAGGCGGUUUGUUAAGUCUGCUGUGAAAUCCCCGGGCUCAACCUGGGAAUGGCAGUGGAUACUGGCAAGCUAGAGUGUGUCAGAGGAUGGUGGAAUUCCCGGUGUAGCGGUGAAAUGCGUAGAGAUCGGGAGGAACAUCAGUGGCGAAGGCGGCCAUCUGGGACAACACUGACGCUGAGGCACGAAAGCGUGGGGAGCAAACAGGAUUAGAGACCCCCGUAGUCCCUGUCUCUUAUAC
RNAcentral lists this ribosomal RNA (303 nucleotides) under uncultured bacterium. Its description in RNAcentral is "partial 16S ribosomal RNA". It matches the Rfam family "Bacterial small subunit ribosomal RNA", at positions 507 to 807 of the family's 1533-position model. The record is from RNAcentral.